This 105-nucleotide non-coding RNA is filed under the name Propionispora sp. 2/2-37. RNAcentral describes it as "SAM riboswitch aptamer (S box leader)". It matches the Rfam family "SAM riboswitch aptamer (S box leader)". From Rfam's summary of the family: The SAM riboswitch is found upstream of a number of genes which code for proteins involved in methionine or cysteine biosynthesis in Gram-positive bacteria. The SAM riboswitch acts at the level of transcription termination control. The record is from Rfam by way of RNAcentral. RNAcentral also lists the same sequence under 1 other name. Lineage: Bacteria; Bacillati; Bacillota; Negativicutes; Selenomonadales; Sporomusaceae.
CACUCAUCAAGAGCAGGUGGAGGGAAUGGCCCGAUGAAACCGCGGCAACCGUUAGUUUUUACUGACAAGGUGCCAAUUCCUGUGGCAUUUGCUACAAGAUGGGAG